AGCUUUAUAUUCAAUAUGAUAUGAAAUUGCAAAUUUCAAGGUGUGUAACAAAUAUACUAAGGCUU
RNAcentral lists this transfer RNA (65 nucleotides) under Tacola eulimene. RNAcentral's name for it is "tRNA-Cys". The record is from RNAcentral. Lineage: Eukaryota; Metazoa; Arthropoda; Insecta; Lepidoptera; Nymphalidae.